AAUAGUACCUCUGCAUUGCAUUCAGCUGACUUUAAAAGCAUUGAUCUACUCUUUUGGACGAAACCACCGAUUUACACAUCUACCAGCAAGCCCAUCUAUAAACACACGCAUUGAUUCAUUCAGGCAUUACCACAGACCCACAUCGCACCAUCCCGGUUCACCACAGACCAUCUGUCAACUACAACCACAAAAACACACGAGCAACAAGAGAUCUUAAAAGAGAUUGAAACAAACACUGUCGAUCUCGUCCUGAGACUUUGUAGCUUUUCUGCUGCGGCGUCUGAAGAAGUUUUCAGAGUGAACUUCUGGCAAGAAGAGCCUCUGAGAAGAGAAGACCUGAGCAGAGAAGAUUACUUUAAGUUGUGUUGAGGUGGUGUGCUGCAGAAGCAGUGAGUUGUGUUGAGGUGGUGUGCUGCAGAAGGCUGUGAUUUGUGUUGAGGUGGUGUGCUGCAGUAGGCUGUAAGUUUGGUCGGGGACUCGGGGUAAGACAAAGGACAACAUUUCCAUUCUGUUGCAAUCGCAUGAGAGGAGGAAAUAUAUGAUAUAUUGUAGCUAGCAGAAGAUGAAGAGUUCAGUAAGGUCUGGAGAGGAUGAGAGAGAGAGCAAGAGGGGGCAGAGAGAGGGAAGAGGAGGAGAGAGCGAAAGAGAGACCGAGAGCGGGGGGCAGAGAGAGGGAAGAGGAUGAGAGAGAGAGAGAGUUUGUACAUUUCCUCAGUGAAAGCAAUGUACUGAGCAAAUGUCAAAUUGGCUUUUUACCAAAUUAUCGUACGACAGACCACAUAUUCACCCUGCACACCCUAAUUGACAAACAAACAAACCAAAACAAAGGCAAAGUCGUCUUAUGAUUUGUUGAUUUCAAAAAAGCCUUCAACUCAAUUUGGCAUGAGGGUCUGCUUUACAAAUUGAUGUAAAGUGGUGUUGGGGGAAAAACAUACGACAUUAUAAAAUCCACGUACACAAACAAGUAUGCGGUUAAAAUGGGCAAAUAAACACACAUUUCUUUCCACUUGGCUGUGGGGUGAGACAGGGAUGCAGCUUAAGCCCAACCUUCUUCAACAUAUAUAUCAACGAAUUGGUGAGGGCACUAGAACAGUCUGCAGCACCCGGCCUCACCCUACUAGAAUCUGAAGUCAAAUGUCUACUGUUUACUGAUGAUCUGGUGCUUCUGUCACCAACCAAGGAGGGCCUAUAGUAGCACCUAGAUCUUCUGCACAGAUUCUGCCAGACCUGGGCCCUGACAGUAAAUCGCAGUAUGUAACGCCCUGGCCAUAGAGAGGGGUUUUUUGUUCUCUAUUUUUGGUUAGGCCAGGGUGUGACAUGGGUGGGCGUUCUAGGUUUCUUUUUCUAUGUUGGUGGUUUUCUUUGUUUCGGCCGUGUUUGGCUCUCAAUCAGGAACAGGUGUAGAUCGUUGUUGCUGAUUGAGAGUCAUACAUAGGCAGCCUGUUUUUCCUUUGGGGUUUGUGGGUGAAUGUUUUCUGUCUAGUGCUUUGUUAUUCCUGACAGAACUGUUUGGCUGUCAUUUUCGUGUUUUCUUUUGCAAGUGUUCAUUCGGUCAUUAAAAUCAUUUAAGAUGAACUCUGACGACGGCCGUUACACAGUAAGACCAAAAUUAUGGUGUUCCAAAAAAGGUCCAGUCGCCAGGACCCCAAAUACAAAUUCCGUCUAGCCCUGGAGCACACAAAAAACUAUACCUACCUUUGCCUGAACAUCAGCGCCACAGGUAACUUCCACAAAGCUGGGAACGAUUUGAGAGACAAGGCAAGACGGGCCUUCUAUGCCAUCAAAAGGAACAUAAAAUGUUACAUACCAAUUAGGAUCUGGCUAAAAAUACUUGAAUCAGUUAUAGAACUGAAUUCACAAAAAAACAGAGCAAACUAGAAUGCUAUUUGGCCCUAAACAGAGAAUACACAGUGGCAGAAUACCUGACCACUGUGACUGACUCAAACUUAAGGAAAGUUUUAACUAUGUACAGACUCAGUGAGCAUAGCCUUGUUGUUGAGAAAGGCCGCCGUAGGCAGACAUGGCUCUCAAGAGAUGACAGGCUAUGUGUUCACUGCCCACAAAAUGAGGUGGAAACUGAGCAGCACUUCCUAACCUCCUGCCAAAUGUAUGACCAUAUUAGAGACACAUAUUUCCCCCAGAUUACACAGAUCCACAAAGAAUUACCACAGUGUGCCAUCACAGCAGCAAGAUGUGUGACCUGUUGCCACAAGAACAGGUCAACCAGUGAAGAACAAACACCAUUGUAAAUACAACCCAUAAUUAUGUUUAUUUAUUUUCCCUUUUGUACUUCAACCAUUUGCACAUCGUUACAACACUCUAUAUAGACACAUAAUAUGACAUUUGUAAUGUCUUUAUUCUUGUGGAGUGUAAUGUUUACUGUUCAUUUUUAUUGUUCAUUUCACUUUUGUUUAUUGUCU
RNAcentral lists this long non-coding RNA (2420 nucleotides) under Salmo salar (Atlantic salmon). RNAcentral describes it as "lncRNA (ENSSSAG00000117015.1)". Lineage: Eukaryota; Metazoa; Chordata; Actinopteri; Salmoniformes; Salmonidae. The record is from RNAcentral.